UACGUAGGGGGCAAGCGUUGUCCGGAAUCACUGGGCGUAAAGCGCGCGCAGGCGGUCAUCUACGUCUGGGGUGAAAGCCCGGAGCUCAACUCCGGGAUUGCCUUGGAUACGGGAUGACUUGAGGAUCGGGGAGGCAAGGGGAAUUCCACGUGUAGCGGUGAAAUGCGUAGAGAUGUGGAGGAACACCUGUGGCGAAGGCGCCUUGCUGGCCGAUUUCUGACGCUGAGGCGCGAAAGCGUGGGGAGCAAACAGG
Molecule: ribosomal RNA, 253 nt
Filed under: uncultured bacterium
Lineage: Bacteria
Description: partial 16S ribosomal RNA
Rfam family: Bacterial small subunit ribosomal RNA
Source: RNAcentral